CCCGACGCGGCCCCCGCCGCCGCCCGCCGCGCCCCCCGACGCGCCCCCGCCGCCACCCGCCCCCUGCCGCACCCCCUGCCGCGCCUCCGGCCUCCUCUGACCUCCCCAGUGCGCGUGGAUGCCUCCGCCCCCGCCUGCUCGCCUUCCAUCCGCUGCGCCGUCGGCCUCCCCAGCGGCCACGGGUGCUGGCCCCUCGCGCAAAACCUCCCCCACUCCAUUUUCCCCGGCGCAUGCGGGUUCCUUCGGCCUUCCCGGCGCACGCGGGCGCCGUCCCCACCUGCUCGCCUUCGAUUCGCAGCCGCCGUUGGCAUCCCCCGCGGGUCGAGGAUGCCUCCGGCCUCCCGGCGGGCACGGGCGCUGGCCCCUCGCGUGAAACCUCCCCCACUCCGUCGAUCCGAAGCAGAGAGCUCGCUCGUAGGGUCGAGUUCUGCGAUGCUCGGCUGGAGGUGACCACGGCGACGUCGGACGUCCGGUCAGUGCCUUUACCAAGUUUUUCUCCGCCAAGGUAUUUGAAUGCAAAUCGAGCCUGACUGCUUGCUUCGUUGUUUAUUGAUCUGAUACGUUUUGUUCUUAUACAAUUUCAAGCACGUUCGUAUUGAUUUCUUAGAGAACAACUGCGUCUUGUUGAGUUGCAGUGGAAGACAUCAGGGAAAGAAAGCCCCUAAUUUUUAGAGUAGUAUUGACAGCAGGUCAAAUUUGAGUGCUUCAGUUCUAUGCAUUGCAUCAUUCUUUGCAGCAUAUGUUGUAUCUUUUUUUUGAGCUAGAUGAGUGAGAAUGUUAUGCGCAACCAAUAUCAAAACCGAUCCCUGUCAAUGGACUGUAUAAGAUCCCUCUCUCAUUAGUCACAUUGAUUUUUUUUCUUUACAUUUCUCACUCAUUUUCAAAGUUAGUUUCACAUCAGUGCAUCCUUAUGAGGAGGAAAGGUCAAUAGCAUUGAUAAUAAAAUUUCUCAUCAUUAUUGGAACAAAGUUUUGUUUUCUUUGUGCUCAAAAAGCAAACAGCACCUUAAGAUUGAUAUGUUUACUUUUUCAUGUCAGGAAAGGUCAAUGGCAUUGAGAAAAUCUGUCUCUUCUAAAUCAUGAGUGAAUAGAGCUAUAUAUCUUCCAGGUUCAGUCUUCAUGUUACCUUAUGUUUGGGUUUCAUAGUUAAUUGAUCGGGUACACGAUUUGAACAGCACCAUGAUCUACCUAUGUGAAAUUUCAUCGCUAGGGUUUAGAAUUUCCUAGCCACCUUGAUCACCCUGAUCUGAUUCAAUUUGAUCUUAUUCAUGUAGCCAAAUAAGAUCCAUGGCAAAGCCAUAUAUCCACUUAUCCAGUCUCCAUCUUCCAUAAGGGUUAUUUGAACAAGGGGAAGUCCAAGGAGAUGACAGUACCUACUAUGACAGUACCAAAUAAUUGUCUUGUUGGCAAAUUCACACUUUCCCUGAAUAUUCUUACAGAAAUUUGAUUUUUUUCAGAUACGCGCAUAACGAUGCUAUCAUUCAUUCCUUGACAUCAGACGUGGGCUGUUCUAAUCCAUAUCUUUGCUUACUAUGAGAAGGUAUGAAUACAUGGAUUCUUUUCUUUAUUCACACAUUGCAAUAGCCAUUCGUAAUUGAUAUGUUGAAAGCAAACCAAGUUCAUCGGCAAGUUGCUUGGAUACACUGAUUCUCCUAGGAACCAAUGCAGCUCCACUAUUUCAGGUUUCAGUACAUUUUACAAUCUAACUGAUCAGUCCUUCAGAGGCUUCCAGGUUCAGCUGUGGCCACCAUGACUAUAAGCUGCUAAGAGCGACAGCCAUGUGGAGCACUGCAGGUUCCAUGAGUUGUGCUAAUAAAUGGGUUAACAAACAUGUUUUGGUCAGCAUUGAGUUCAUCACCUGUCUGUUUUUCCUGCUAUUCCAAUAAGAUUUGAGAGGAAGGCUGAGGUAGAAUCAAGUUAGCAUAAAUUAUUGGGAGCUCAUGGAUCUUUUUUCUUCUCCAUUUUGACCAAACUGUACAACUGAUAAAUACUAAGACCUUAGCUAAGCUAUCUCUAUAUAAUGCGGUUUAUUUUUUGGUGUUUUCUCAUUCAUUAAGUUCAACUUCUUUAUUGCUGUAUAGACCAAGAUGAAUGUCAUACAUGAGCUCCAAGACGUUUGUUCUAAGAGAUUUACAUGCGAAUACCAUAUGCGGACCAUUGACAAAAGGAACUCCAAAAAUCAAUUCUGUCCAGAUAUUCUAAAUUUUAUUAUGCCUAUUUAGAAUAAAAUUGAUGUACCACACAAGUAUCUUUAUGAGAUAUUGCUAUGUUGAUACAUCAAUCUAUUGCUAAGCUGUAACUCUCUUCCUCAGCUAAAGAAGCUCGAGAUACCAAGUUCAGAUAUGUCUACCUCUGCGAUAAUAAUGUUUCUUGAUUGUCUAAAGGAGUUUGACAUGUCGGGUUAUGAGACAUCCACAAUUAAUUAGCAAACAUGAACUAUUAUAUAUGUCAAAUAUUAACAAACAUGAAUAUUUCCUUUCCAAAACGAUCGUCUACAUAUCCAUGCGAUUAAUUAGCAUAUAAACAGUCUUAUGGAAUCUUAGGAGCAUAACAGACAUUUCUUACAGAAAUCCACAGCUGACAGUUGUUUCAGCCAAAUAGCUUUCAGCUUUCCCACAGCUAUCAGCUUACAGCAGCUCUCCCACAGCUGAUUUCAGAAAUCAGAUUUUCAGGAAUCGACAGCUGAAACCAAACACACCCUUACCCUCUUACCCUCCGGAACGGAACCAGCUGGCGGCACGAGGCAACGACGACGGCGCGGCGGUGAGGCACGGCAACCACCGCGACGACGACAGCGAUCGCAUCCCAUUCGACGCCCACGCUCUUAGUCCCCUUCUCGCCGCCUCCAGCGGCAGCUGCGUCCGUGCGGCAGGAACGCCGUCGUGGCCAGGCAGGACGCCAGUGCGGAGGAAGACGAGCGCCGCGGAGGGCGCGGCAGGGGGGCUCUCCUGCCGGGUACGCUUAAGGCCCCGGCGGCGGUGGACCCCCGCUGGGCAUGGGGCCACCCGGUGGCGUCGUGGCCAGGGGGCGAUCCGCGGAGGACCCCGGCAGCCUGGUGGCGUUCGUGUGUGGAAGCAGCAGGCAGCCUGGUCUGGUGGAAGUCUGGAUGUGGCCAGCGGCGGCUUCUUCUUUUUAUGAUGUGUGAGAUGGUGAUGGUGACGGUGACGGUGGGUGGGUGGCAUGUGCUGAUGCGGAUCGCAAGGAAAGCGAAGCUACUGAUCACCGUGAGAGUGAAGUGCAGUGGCUUGCUUUUCAUUUGUUUCCCAGGAACCUUGCUGCAGACGAGACCGCUAGCAAACUCGAUGCUUGCUUGCUUGCUUU
Panicum hallii is the source of this 3320-nucleotide long non-coding RNA. RefSeq lists it as uncharacterized. The record is from RefSeq and is a predicted model, not a curated record. Lineage: Eukaryota; Viridiplantae; Streptophyta; Magnoliopsida; Poales; Poaceae. The transcript has 3 exons.